CCGAGUUGCAAAACUCCCAAACCACUGUGAACCUUACCUAUCGUUGCUUCGGCGGAUACGCCCCGGCGCUCUCGCGACCGGAACCAGGCGCCCGUCGGGGAAAAAAAACCCAAACCUUUGAAUCUCUGUGGAUUAUCUGAGUGGCGAAAGCACAAAUACAAUCA
Molecule: unclassified non-coding RNA, 164 nt
Filed under: uncultured Nectria
Lineage: Eukaryota; Fungi; Ascomycota; Sordariomycetes; Hypocreales; Nectriaceae
Description: sequence contains ITS1
Source: RNAcentral